UGGGUAACCUGCCUCAAAGAGGGGAAUAGCCUCCCGAAAGGGGAGAUUAAUACCGCAUAAUAUGUUUAGGUCGCAUGACUUUAACAUCAAAGGAUUUUCUUUUAGAAAUUCCACUUUGAGAUGGACCCCGCGGCGCAUUAGCUAGUUGGUGAGGUAACGCUCACCAAGGCAACGAUGCGUAGCCGACUGAGAGGGUGAUCCGGCCACAUUGGAACUGAGACACGGUCCAGACCUCCGUAGGGAGG
RNAcentral lists this ribosomal RNA (245 nucleotides) under uncultured bacterium. RNAcentral describes it as "partial 16S ribosomal RNA". It matches the Rfam family "Bacterial small subunit ribosomal RNA", at positions 118 to 347 of the family's 1533-position model. The record is from RNAcentral.